CGCCCAACAGCUAGCCCGCCUAAACCAACAACAACAAACCACUAUUAAUACCCCUAAAUACACGAAUAUCGUAUUAAACAAACCAUUUUUCCCCCUUAGUAUGGGCGACAGAAAAGGGACUGUGGAGCAAUAGAGAAAGUACCGCAAGGGAACGCUGAAAGAGAAAUGAAAUAACCCAGUGAAGCCUAAAGAAGCAGAGAUUUAAGCUCGUACCUUUUGCAUCAUGAUUUAGCCAGUGUAACCCAAGCAAAGAGUGCUUUAGUUUGAUAACCCGAAACUAAGUGAGCUACUCCAAGACAGCCUAUUAAUAGGGCAAACCCGUCUCUGUGGCAAAAGAGUGGGAAGAGCUUUGAGUAGAGGUGACAGACCUACCGAACCUAGUUAUAGCUGGUUGCCCGGGAAUUGGAUAGAAGUUCAGCCUCCCGGCUUCUUUCUUCACCUCAGUACUACCCCUCCUGACACCCAUAAGAAACCGCGAGAGUUAGUCAAAGGGGGUACAGCCCCUUUGAAUCAAGACACAACUUUCCCAGGAGGGUAAAGAUCAUAAUAAAUAAGGUAAAAUAUUCUGGUGGGCCUAAAAGCAGCCAUCCCUAUAGAAAGCGUUAAAGCUCAGACAUAUCACCGACCCCCUCUAUCCUGAUCAUUAAAUCUUAUCCCCCUAAUUCUACCGGGCCGUCCCAUGCAAACAUGGGAGUGACCCUGCUAAUAUGAGUAAUAAGAGAGCCUACGCCUCUCUCCUUGCACACAUGUAAAUCGGAACGGACACCCCGCCGAACCUUAACGGUCCCAAACAAAGAGGGUACUGAACAACAGACCAAACAACUAGAAAAACAUUCAAUAGACCAACCGUUAACCCUACACAGGUGUGCCACCAGGGAAAGACUAAAAGAAAGAGAAGGAACUCGGCAAACACAUGAAGCCUCGCCUGUUUACCAAAAACAUCGCCUCUUGCAAAACUGAAAAUAUAAGAGGUCCCGCCUGCCCUGUGACUAUUAGUUUAACGGCCGCGGUAUUUUGACCGUGCGAAGGUAGCGCAAUCACUUGUCUUUUAAAUGGAGACCUGUAUGAAUGGCAUAACGAGGGCUUAACUGUCUCCUCUUUCAAGUCAAUGAAAUUGAUCUUCCCGUGCAGAAGCGGGAAUAUAACCAUAAGACGAGAAGACCCUAUGAAGCUUUAGACACCAAGGCAGAUCAUGUUAAACACCCCUUAAUAAAGGACCAAACCAAAUGAGUCCUGCCCUAAUGUCUUUGGUUGGGGCGACCGCGGGGAAACAAAAAACCCCCACGUGGAAUGGGAACACCCCCUCCUACAACUAAGAGCUGCAGCUCUAGUCAACAGAAUUUCUGACCAAUAAGAUCCGGCAAUGCCGAUCAACGAACCGAGUUACUCUAGGGAUAACAGCGCAAUCCUCUUUUAGAGCCCAUAUCGACAAGGGGGUUUACGACCUCGAUGUUGGAUCAGGACAUCCUAAUGGUGCAGCCGCUAUUAAGGGUUCGUUUGUUCAACGAUUAAAGUCCUACGUGAUCUGAGUUCAGACCGGAGUAAUCCAGGUCAGUUUCUAUCUAUGAUAUGCUCUUUUCUAGUACGAAAGGACCGAAAAGAAGAGGCCUAUACCUCAAGUACGCCUCACCCCCACCUAAUGAAAACAACUAAAAUAGGCAAGAGGGCAUACCCCCCUGCCGAAGAGAACGGCAU
This 1695-nucleotide ribosomal RNA is filed under the name Niphon spinosus. RNAcentral describes it as "16S ribosomal RNA". The stretch from base 99 to 1616 matches the Rfam family "Bacterial large subunit ribosomal RNA". The record is from RNAcentral. Lineage: Eukaryota; Metazoa; Chordata; Actinopteri; Perciformes; Niphonidae.